GGCAUUCGGGCCACCCCGGCCCCAGCACCAGCAUCAGCACCAGCGCGCCGACAAGCGGUGGAGCGUCCACCAGCCGCGGCGCUUCCGCUGGACCACCCGGACGCAGUGGAAGGGUCCUCGCGGAGGGGGUCCUGCAAUCGCAGGAAGAAAUCAUCAGGGGGAUCGCGGGGAUCAACGAGCGGCUGGACCGGCUCGUAAAUUUCCUCGAGCGUCUGGUGGAGAAAAUAAAUUAAUUUGGCUCAUUGAACUGUGUAUUCACUUCUUACCCAUUCACACUGUGGCGAUGAGAUUCUCCCGCGCGAGGACGGCGGCCCGGCAGGGAUCAGCUCACAUCCCUCCGUCUGCUGCUGGUUCGUCAUGUGGGGCGACGUGCUGCCCGGCCACGGGGAUGUGGUGCACGCUUGUCACAUAGUGAGUCACCAAACACCGCCACACAGCGUCGCCAAAGUGCAAAUCACAGUCAACGCAAAUAUCCAGCUCAACGCCAAUUUCUACACCACCUCCUGACUUUGCGUUGAUUAGCGCUGGAACCGACGCUCGUUUCGCGAUGAUAAAUCUGGACGUGUGCGCCGAUUUUGGCGUACGCAAGGUUUUCUUGCGCCGCAAGCGUUGAUACAUGAGGCCCCUGGUGUCCUCUCUAUAUAGUGAAGCUUGGUCACGGUGGGGGUGCCAUGUCAGGCUUGUGGCUUUGAUGAAAAAGGACAUUGUCAGUGCUCUUCCACGUUGUCCCCCAUAUCUCAAAAAAUACAACUUACUGUACAUGUACAAUGACACCUUUGUACACUACCGUAUCUUGCCAGUUUAGAGACCUCGUAUUUUGGCACACUGUAUUGCAGCCCUCCCAAAAAAGAUUCAUAUCCAAACUGAGGCCUUAAGAGCAACUGCUUUUAACACAACCUCAUUCGACUGCAUACAAAGAUAUAUCAAAUUCACAUAUGCUCUAGAAAAAACAUGACCAACUCCCUGGUGGUCUAGUGGUUAGGAUUCGGCGCUCUCACCGCCACGGCCCGGGUUUGAUUCCCGGUCAGGGAAUACACUCUUUGAACAUCUGGUGUCCUCUCUGUAUAGUGAAGCUUGGUCACGGUGGGGGUGCCAUGUCAGGCUUGUGGCUUUGAUGAAAAAGGACAUUGUCAGUGCUCUUCCACGUUGUCCCCCAUAUCUCAAAAAAUACAACUUACUGUACAUGUACAAUGACACCUUUGUACACUACCGUAUCUUGCCAGUUUAGAGACCUUGUAUUUUGGCACACUGUAUUGCAGCCCUCCCAAAAAAGAUUCAUAUCCAAACUGAGGCCUUAAGAGCAACUGCUUUUAACACAACCUCAUUCGACUGCAUACAAAGAUAUAUCAAAUUCACAGAUGCUCUAGAAAAAACAUGACCAACUCCCUGGUGGUCUAGUGGUUAGGAUUCGGCGUUUUCACCGCCGCGGCCCGGGUUCGAUUCCCGGUCAGGGAAUACACUCUUUGAACAUCUGGUGUCCUCUCUGUAUAGUGAAGCUUGGUCACGGUGGGGGUGCCAUGUCAGGCUUGUGGCUUUGAUGAAAAAGGACAUUGUCAGUGCCCUUCCACGUUGUCCCCCAUAUCUCAAAAAAUACAACUUACUGUACAUGUACAAUGACACGUUUGUACACUGUUGUAUCUUGCCGGUUUAGAGACCUUGUAUUUUGGCACACUGUAUUGCAGCCCUCCCAAAAAAGAUUCAUAUCCAAACUGAGGCCUUAAGAGCAACUGCUUUGAACACAACCUCAUUCGACUGCAUACAAAGAUAUAUCAAAUUCACAGAUGCUCUAGAAAAACCAUGACCAACUCCCUGGUGGUCUAGUGGUUAGGAUUCGGCGCUCUCACCGCCGCGGCCAGGUUUCGAUUCCCGGUCAGGGAAUACACUCUUUGAACAUCUGGUGUCCUCUCUGUAUAGUGAAGCUUGGUCACGGUGGGGGUGCCAUGUCAGGCUUGUGGCUUUGAUGAAAAAGGACAUUGUCAGUGCUCUUCCACGUUGUCACCCAAAUCUCAAAAAAUACAACUUACUGUACAUGUACAAUGACACCUAUGUACACUACUGUAUCUUGCCACUUUAGAGACCUCAUAUUUUGGCACACUGUAUUGCAGCCCUCCCAAAAAAGAUUCAUAUCCAAACUGAGGCCUUAAGAGCAACUGCUUUGAACACAACCUCAUUCGACUGCAUACAAAGAUAUAUCAAAUUCACAGAUGCUCUAGAAAACCCAUGACCAACUCCCUGGUGGUCUAGUUGUUAGGAUUCGGCGUUUUCACCGCAGCGGCCCGGGUUCGAUUCCCGGUCAGGGAAUACACUCUUUGAACAUCUGGUGUCCUCUCUGUAUAGUGAAGCUUGGUCACGGUGGGGGUGCCAUGUCAGGCUUGUGGCUUUGAUGAAAAAGGACAUUGACAGUGCUCUUCCACAUUGUCCCCCAUAUCUCAAAAAAUACAACUUACUGUACAUGUACAAUGACACCUUUGUACACUACCGUAUCUUGCCAGUUUAGAGACCUCAUAUUUUGGCACACUGUAUUGCAGCCCUUCCAAAAAAGAUUCAUAUCCAAACUGAGGCCUUAAGAGCAACUGCUUUGAACACAACCUCAUUCGACUGCAUACAAAGAUAUAUCAAAUUCAAAGAUGCUCUAGAAAAAACAUGACCAACUCCCUGGUGGUCUAGUGGUUAGGAUUCGGCGUUUUCACCGCCGCGGCCCGGGUUUGAUUCCCGAUCAGGGAAUACACUCUUUGAACAUCUGGUGUCCUCUCUGUAUAGUGAAGCUUAGUCACGGUGGGGGUGCCAUGUCAGGCUUGUGGCUUUGAUGAAAAAGGACAUUGACAGUGCUCUUCCACAUUGUCCCCCAUAUCUCAAAAAAUACAACUUACUGUACAUGUACAAUGACACCUUUGUACACUACCGUAUCUUGCCAGUUUAGAGACCUCGUAUUUUGGCACACUGUAUUGCAGCCCUUCCAAAAAAGAUUCAUAUCCAAACUGAGGCCUUAAGAGCAACUGCUUUGAACGCAACCUCAUUCAACUGCAUACAAAGAUAUAUCAAAUUCAAAGAUCCUCUAGAAAAAACAUGACCAACUCCCUGGUGGUCUAGUGGUUAGGAUUCGGCGCUCUCACCGCCGCGGCCCGGGUUCGAUUGCUGGUCAGGGAAUACACUCUUUGAACAUCUGGUGUCCUCUCUGUAUAGUAAAAAUUGGUCACUGUGGGGGUGCCAUGUCAGGCUUGUGGCUUUGAUGAAAAAGGACAUUGUCAGUGCUCUUCCAUGUUGUCCCCCAUAUCUCAAAAAAUACAACUUACUGUACAUGUACAAUGACACCUUUGUGCACUACUGUAUCUUGCCAUUUUAGAGACCUUGUAUUUUGGCACACUGUAUUGCAGCCCUCCCAAAAAAAAUUCAUAUCCAAACUGAGGCCUUAAGAGCGAAAGCUUUGAUUGCAACCUCAUUCGACUGCAUACAAAGAUAUAUCAAAUUCACAGAUGCUCUAGAAAAAACAUGACCAACUCCCUGGUGGUCUAGUGGUUAGGAUUCGGCGCUCUCACCGCCGCGGCCCGGGUUCGAUUCCCGGUCAGGGAAUACACUCUUUGAACAUCUGGUGUCCUCUCUGUAUAGUGAAGCUUGGUCACGGUGGGGGUGCCAUGUCAGGCUUGUGGCUUUGAUGAAAAAGGACAUUGUCAGUGCUCUUCCACGUUGUCCCCCAUAUCUCAAAAAAUACAACUUACUGUACAUGUACAAUGACACCUUUGUACACUACCGUAUCUUGCCAGUUUAGAGACCUCGUAUUUUGGCACACUGUAUUGCAGCCCUCCCAAAAAAGAUUCAUAUCCAAACUGAGGCCUUAAGAGCAACUGCUUUUAACACAACCUCAUUCGACUGCAUACAAAGAUAUAUCAAAUUCACAGAUGCUCUAGAAAAAACAUGACCAACUCCCUGGUGGUCUAGUGGUUAGGAUUCGGCGUUUUCACCGCCGCGGCCCGGGUUCGAUUCCCGGUCAGGGAAUACACUCUUUGAACAUCUGGUGUCCUCUCUGUAUAGUGAAGCUUGGUCACGGUGGGGGUGCCAUGUCAGGCUUGUGGCUUUGAUGAAAAAGGACAUUGUCAGUGCCCUUCCACGUUGUCCCCCAUAUCUCAAAAAAUACAACUUACUGUACAUGUACAAUGACACCUUUGUACACUGUUGUAUCUUGCCAGUUUAGAGACCUUGUAUUUUGGCACACUGUAUUGCAGCCCUCCCAAAAAAGAUUCAUAUCCAAACUGAGGCCUUAAGAGCAACUGCUUUGAACACAACCUCAUUCGACUGCAUACAAAGAUAUAUCAAAUUCACAGAUGCUCUAGAAAAAACAUGACCAACUCCCUGGUGGUCUAGUGGUUAGGAUUCGGCGUUUUCACCGCCGCGGCCCGGGUUCGAUUGCUGGUCAGGGAAUACAGUCUUUGAACAUCUGGUGUCCUCUCUGUAUAGUGAAGCUUGGUCACGGUGGGGGUGCCAUGUCAGGCUUGUGGCUUUGAUGAAAAAGGACAUUGUCAGUGCUCCUCCAAAUUGUCCCCCAUAUCUCAAAAAAUACAACUUACUGUACAUGUACAAUGACACCUUUGUGCACUACUGUAUCUUGCCAGUAUACAGACCGUGUAUUUUGGCACACUGUAUUGCAGCCCUCCCAAAAAAGAUUCAUAUCCAAACUGAGGCCUUAAGAGCAACUGCUUUGAACACAACCUCAUUCGACUGCAAACAAAGAUAUAUCAAAUUCACAGAUGCUCUAGAAAAAACAUGACCAACUCCCUGGUGGUCUAGUGUUUAGGAUUCGGCGCUCUCACCGCCGCGGCCCGGGUUCGAUUCCCGGUCAGGGAAUACACUCUUUGAACAUCUGGUGUCCUCUCUGAAUACUGAAGCUUGGUCACGGUGGGGGUGCCAUGUCAGGCUUGUGGCUUUGAUGAAAAAGGACAUUGUCAGUUCUCUUCCACGUUGUCACCCAAAUCUCAAAAAAUACAACUUACUGUACAUGUACAAUGACACCUAUGUACACUACUGUAUCUUGCCACUUUAGAGACCUCAUAUUUUGGCACACUGUAUUGCAGCCCUCCCAAAAAAGAUUCAUAUCCAAACUGAGGCCUUAAGAGCAACUGCUUUGAACACAACCUCAUUCGACUGCAUACAAAGAUAUAUCAAAUUCACAGAUGCUCUAGAAAACCCAUGACCAACUCCCUGGUGGUCUAGUGGUUAGGAUUCGGCGUUUUCACCGCCGCGGCCGGGGUUCGAUUCCCGGUCAGGGAAUACACUCUUUGAACAUCUGGUGUCCUCUCUGUAUAGUGAAGCUUGGUAACGAUGGGGGUGCCAUGUCAGGCUUGUGGCUUUGAUGAAAAAGGACAUUCACAGUGCUCUUCCACAUUGACCCCCAUAUCUCAAAAAAUACAACUUACUGUACAUGUACAAUGACACCUUUGUACACUACCGUAUCUUGCCAGUGUAGAGACCUCGUAUUUUGGCACACUGUAUUGCAGCCCUUCCAAAAAAGAUUCAUAUCCAAACUGAGGCCUUAAGAGCAACUGCUUUGAACACAACCUCAUUCGACUGCAUACAAAGAUAUAUCAAAUUCAAAGAUCCUCUAGAAAAAACAUGACCAACUCCCUGGUGGUCUAGUGGUUAGGAUUCGGUGCUCUCACCGCCGCGGCCCGGGUUCGAUUCCCGGUCAGGGAAUACACUCUUUGAACAUCUGGUGUCCUCUCUGUAUAGUGAAAAUUGGUCACGGUGGGUGUGCCAUGUCAGGCUUGUGGCUUUGAUGAAAAAGGAAAUUGUCAGUGCAUUUCCACGUUGUCCCCCAUAUCUCAAAAAAUACAACUUACUGUACAUGUACAAUGACACCUUUGUGCACUACUGUAUCUUGCCAGUUUAGAGACCUUGUAUUUUGGCACACUGUAUUGCAGCCCUCCCAAAAAAGAUUCAUAUCCAAACUGAGGCCUUAAGAGCGAAAGCUUUGAAUGCAACCUCAUUCGACUGCAAACAAAGAUAUAUCAAAUUCACAGAUGCUCUAGAAAAAACAUGACCAACUCCCUGGUGGUCUAGUGGUUAGGAUUCGGCGCUCUCACCGCCGCGGCCCGGGUUCGAUUCCCGGUCAGGGAAUACACUCUUUGAACAUCUGGUGUCCUCUCUGUAUAGUGAAGCUUGGUCGCGGUGGGGGUGCCAUGUCAGGCUUGUGGCUUUGAUGAAAAAGGACAUUGUCAGUGCUCUUCCACGUUGUCCCCCAUGUCUCAAAAAAUACAACUUACUGUACAUGUACAAUGACACCUUUGUACACUAACGUAUCUUGCCAGUUUAGAGACCUCGUAUUUUGGCACACUGUAUUGCAGCCCUCCCAAAAAAGAUUCCUAUCCAAACUGAGGCCUUAAGAGCAACUGCUUUUAACACAACCUCAUUCGACUGCAUACAAAGUGUUGAGAUGUGCUCUCAUUUCAUUUUUGUUUCUAGACAUCAUUCUUUUUGUCACUACCUUGUCAAUCUAGACGUCAUGUCAUGUGAUCCUAAUCAGUGAAUUGGUCACAGGUAUGCUGUCUCUAAUUAAAACAGCUGAGCCCGUGCGUGCGCGUUGGCUCACUCAGAGAGAAACACUCGUGUGUUAUGUGUGUUUUUUCGCUAAACGUUGUGCAGGAAAAACCCACUCUGCUAACACAAAGAUAUAUCAAAUUCACAGAUGCUCUAGAAAAAACAUGACCAACUCCCUGGUGGUCUAGUGGUUAGGAUUCGGCGUUUUCACCGCCGCGGCCCGGGUUCGAUUCCCGGUCAGGGAAUACACUCUUUGAACAUCUGCUGUCCUCUCUGAAUACUGAAGCUUGGUCACGGUGGGGGUGCCAUGUCAGGCUUGUGGCUUUGAUGAAAAAGGACAUUGUCAGUGCUCUUCCACGUUGUCACCCAAAUCUCAAAAAAUACAACUUACUAUACAUGUACAAUGACACCUAUGUACACUACUGUAUCUUGCCACUUUACAGACCUCAUAUUUUGGCACACUGUAUUGCAGCCCUCCCAAAAAAGAUUCAUAUCCAAACUGAGGCCUUAAGAGCAACUGCUUUGAACACAACCUCAUUUGACUGCAUACAAAGAUAUAUCAAAUUCACAGAUGCUCUAGAAAACCCAUGACCAACUCCCUGGUGGUCUAGUGGUUAGGAUUCGGCGUUUUCACCGCCGCGGCCCGGGUUCGAUUCCCGGUCAGGGAAUACACUCUUUGAAAAUCUGGUGUCCUCUCUGUAUAGUGAAGCUUGGUCACGGUGGGGGUGCCAUGUCAGGCUUGUGGCUUUGAUGAAAAAGGACAUUGACAGUGCUCUUCCACAUUGUCCCCCAUAUCUCAAAAAAUACAACUUACUGUACAUGUACAAUGACACCUUUGUACACUACCGUAUCUUGCCAGUUUAGAGACCUCGUAUUUUGGCACACUGUAUUGCAGCCCUUCCAAAAAAGAUUCAUAUCCAAACUGAGGCCUUAAGAGCAACUGCUUUGAACACAACCUCAUUCGACUGCAUACAAAGAUAUAUCAAAUUCAAAGAUGCUCUAGAAAAAACAUGACCAACUCCCUGGUGGUCUAGUGGUUAGGAUUCGGCGCUCUCACCGCCGCGGCCCGGGUUCGAUUCCCGGUCAGGGAAUACACUCUUUGAACAUCUGGUGUCCUCUCUGUAUACUGAAAAUUGGUCACGGUGGGGGUGCCAUGUCAGGCUUGUGGCUUUGAUGAAAAAGGACAUUGUCAGUGCUCUUCCACGUUGUCCCCCAUAUCUCAAAAAAUACAACUUACUGUACAUGUACAAUGACACCUUUGUGCACUACUGUAUCUUGCCAGUUUAGAGACCUUGUAUUUUGGCACACUGUAUUGCAGCCCUCCCCAAAAAAAUUCAUAUCCAAACUGAGGCCUUAAGAGCGAAAGCUUUGAAUGCAACCUCAUUCGACUGCAUACAAAGAUAUAUCAAAUUCACAGAUGCUCUAGAAAAAACAUGACCAACUCCCUGGUGGUCUAGUGGUUAGGAUUCGGCGCUCUCACCGCCGCGGCCCGGGUUCGAUUCCCGGUCAGGGAAUACACUCUUUGAACAUCUGGGGCCUCAUGUAUCAACACUUGCGUGGAACUCAUACCAGAAACGAGCGCACGCAAGGUCCGUCACGCUGAAAAAAAUCCGUAUGUAUCAAUGUGUGCGGGCGCCGAAAUCCACGUGUGUUUCCUUGAUAAAUCCCAAUCAGCGUGGAAUUGAGCGCAGAUGUCGGAGUGACUGGGCCCGUCCCCGUUACGCCCUCCUAUAAAUAUGCAGAUUUAUUUAAAUAGGGUCUCCCUGUCCUCGCACGCAGACAAAAUGACAAGAAAAACUACAUUUACGGCGUGCGAGGUGGAGGUGCUGGUGGCGGAGGUGGAGGAGCGACAGCGUGUUUUGUUUGGCAGCCUGUCCAGUGGCGUCAGUGCAAAACAAAAACGCUUGGAGUGGGAGAAAGUUUGCGAGAGGGUGAAUGCGGUGGGUUCCGAGACACGCACCCCCGCGGAGAUUAAAAAAAAGUGGUCGGACCUCAAGGUGGAGGUCAAGCGGCGUACAGCUGCCCUCCGGAGGAGUACCGGCCAGACAGGUGGGGGUCCGGGGGAGGAGACCCUCACACCGUUUGAGCAGCGGGUGGUGGCGAUUAUUAUUAUAGGGUAAGUGGCGUGUCACACAAAUGUCCACAUGCUUUGUCAUCCCACUGAGCAAAAGACGUAUAUUAGACGUCUAGUCUAAGUUUAUACUUCAUUUCAACGUCGGGAUUCAGUCUAUUUUUAGACGUGAUUUAUACUUCGCCCUUAACUUCAUUUUUCAAUAACUUUUUAUGCAAUAAACAACUGUAAUGUGCAUAACUGACCUCGAAAUACUGGAUUACAUUACCUAUGAUACUGUGGAGAGAGAUGUAAAUGCAACAGAUACACAGAAGCAGGAAUUGAAAUGAACAAAUAUUUUUAUUGUGUCACAGAAAUUAAUGUGUCGGCCGUGUCGCCGGCUUGCGGAACCCCGGCCCGCGGCAGCCCGUCCGCCGGCUCGGAGUCGUCGGCCAGGACCAGCGGCAUUCGGGCCACCCCGGCCCCAGCACCAGCAUCAGCACCAGCGCGCCGACAAGCGGUGGAGCGUCCACCAGCCGCGGCGCUUCCGCUGGACCACCCGGACGCAGUGGAAGGGUCCUCGCGGAGGGGGUCCUGCAAUCGCAGGAAGAAAUCAUCAGGGGGAUCGCGGGGAUCAACGAGCGGCUGGACCGGCUCGUAAAUUUCCUCGAGCGUCUGGUGGAGAAAAUAAAUUAAUUUGGCUCAUUGAACUGUGUAUUCACUUCUUACCCAUUCACACUGUGGCGAUGAGAUUCUCCCGCGCGAGGACGGCGGCCCGGCAGGGAUCAGCUCACAUCCCUCCGUCUGCUGCUGGUUCGUCAUGUGGGGCGACGUGCUGCCCGGCCACGGGGAUGUGGUGCACGCUUGUCACAUAGUGAGUCACCAAACACCGCCACACAGCGUCGCCAAAGUGCAAAUCACAGUCAACGCAAAUAUCCAGCUCAACGCCAAUUUCUACACCACCUCCUGACUUUGCGUUGAUUAGCGCUGGAACCGACGCUCGUUUCGCGAUGAUAAAUCUGGACGUGUGCGCCGAUUUUGGCGUACGCAAGGUUUUCUUGCGCCGCAAGCGUUGAUACAUGAGGCCCCUGGUGUCCUCUCUAUAUAGUGAAGCUUGGUCACGGUGGGGGUGCCAUGUCAGGCUUGUGGCUUUGAUGAAAAAGGACAUUGUCAGUGCUCUUCCACGUUGUCCCCCAUAUCUCAAAAAAUACAACUUACUGUACAUGUACAAUGACACCUUUGUACACUACCGUAUCUUGCCAGUUUAGAGACCUCGUAUUUUGGCACACUGUAUUGCAGCCCUCCCAAAAAAGAUUCAUAUCCAAACUGAGGCCUUAAGAGCAACUGCUUUUAACACAACCUCAUUCGACUGCAUACAAAGAUAUAUCAAAUUCACAUAUGCUCUAGAAAAAACAUGACCAACUCCCUGGUGGUCUAGUGGUUAGGAUUCGGCGCUCUCACCGCCACGGCCCGGGUUUGAUUCCCGGUCAGGGAAUACACUCUUUGAACAUCUGGUGUCCUCUCUGUAUAGUGAAGCUUGGUCACGGUGGGGGUGCCAUGUCAGGCUUGUGGCUUUGAUGAAAAAGGACAUUGUCAGUGCUCUUCCACGUUGUCCCCCAUAUCUCAAAAAAUACAACUUACUGUACAUGUACAAUGACACCUUUGUACACUACCGUAUCUUGCCAGUUUAGAGACCUUGUAUUUUGGCACACUGUAUUGCAGCCCUCCCAAAAAAGAUUCAUAUCCAAACUGAGGCCUUAAGAGCAACUGCUUUUAACACAACCUCAUUCGACUGCAUACAAAGAUAUAUCAAAUUCACAGAUGCUCUAGAAAAAACAUGACCAACUCCCUGGUGGUCUAGUGGUUAGGAUUCGGCGUUUUCACCGCCGCGGCCCGGGUUCGAUUCCCGGUCAGGGAAUACACUCUUUGAACAUCUGGUGUCCUCUCUGUAUAGUGAAGCUUGGUCACGGUGGGGGUGCCAUGUCAGGCUUGUGGCUUUGAUGAAAAAGGACAUUGUCAGUGCCCUUCCACGUUGUCCCCCAUAUCUCAAAAAAUACAACUUACUGUACAUGUACAAUGACACGUUUGUACACUGUUGUAUCUUGCCGGUUUAGAGACCUUGUAUUUUGGCACACUGUAUUGCAGCCCUCCCAAAAAAGAUUCAUAUCCAAACUGAGGCCUUAAGAGCAACUGCUUUGAACACAACCUCAUUCGACUGCAUACAAAGAUAUAUCAAAUUCACAGAUGCUCUAGAAAAACCAUGACCAACUCCCUGGUGGUCUAGUGGUUAGGAUUCGGCGCUCUCACCGCCGCGGCCAGGUUUCGAUUCCCGGUCAGGGAAUACACUCUUUGAACAUCUGGUGUCCUCUCUGUAUAGUGAAGCUUGGUCACGGUGGGGGUGCCAUGUCAGGCUUGUGGCUUUGAUGAAAAAGGACAUUGUCAGUGCUCUUCCACGUUGUCACCCAAAUCUCAAAAAAUACAACUUACUGUACAUGUACAAUGACACCUUUGUACACUACUGUAUCUUGCCACUUUAGAGACCUCAUAUUUUGGCACACUGUAUUGCAGCCCUCCCAAAAAAGAUUCAUAUCCAAACUGAGGCCUUAAGAGCAACUGCUUUGAACACAACCUCAUUCGACUGCAUACAAAGAUAUAUCAAAUUCACAGAUGCUCUAGAAAACCCAUGACCAACUCCCUGGUGGUCUAGUUGUUAGGAUUCGGCGUUUUCACCGCCGCGGCCCGGGUUCGAUUCCCGGUCAGGGAAUACACUCUUUGAACAUCUGGUGUCCUCUCUGUAUAGUGAAGCUUGGUCACGGUGGGGGUGCCAUGUCAGGCUUGUGGCUUUGAUGAAAAAGGACAUUGACAGUGCUCUUCCACAUUGUCCCCCAUAUCUCAAAAAAUACAACUUACUGUACAUGUACAAUGACACCUUUGUACACUACCGUAUCUUGCCAGUUUAGAGACCUCAUAUUUUGGCACACUGUAUUGCAGCCCUUCCAAAAAAGAUUCAUAUCCAAACUGAGGCCUUAAGAGCAACUGCUUUGAACACAACCUCAUUCGACUGCAUACAAAGAUAUAUCAAAUUCAAAGAUGCUCUAGAAAAAACAUGACCAACUCCCUGGUGGUCUAGUGGUUAGGAUUCGGCGUUUUCACCGCCGCGGCCCGGGUUCGAUUCCCGAUCAGGGAAUACACUCUUUGAACAUCUGGUGUCCUCUCUGUAUAGUGAAGCUUAGUCACGGUGGGGGUGCCAUGUCAGGCUUGUGGCUUUGAUGAAAAAGGACAUUGUCAGUGCUCUUCCACAUUGUCCCCCAUAUCUCAAAAAAUACAACUUACUGUACAUGUACAAUGACACCUUUGUACACUACCGUAUCUUGCCAGUUUAGAGACCUCGUAUUUUGGCACACUGUAUUGCAGCCCUUCCAAAAAAGAUUCAUAUCCAAACUGAGGCCUUAAGAGCAACUGCUUUGAACACAACCUCAUUCGACUGCAUACAAAGAUAUAUCAAAUUCAAAGAUCCUCUAGAAAAAACAUGACCAACUCCCUGGUGGUCUAGUGGUUAGGAUUCGGCGCUCUCACCGCCGCGGCCCGGGUUCGAUUCCCGGUCAGGGAAUACACUCUUUGAACAUCUGGUGUCCUCUCUGUAUAGUAAGCUUGGUCACGGUGGGGGUGCCAUGUCAGGCUUGUGGCUUUGAUGAAAAAGGACAUUGUCAGUGCUCUUCCAUGUUGUCCCCCAUAUCUCAAAAAAUACAACUUACUGUACAUGUACAAUGACACCUUUGUGCACUACUGUAUCUUGCCAGUUUAGAGACCUUGUAUUUUGGCACACUGUAUUGCAGCCCUCCCAAAAAAAUUCAUAUCCAAACUGAGGCCUUAAGAGCGAAAGCUUUGAAUGCAACCUCAUUCGACUGCAUACAAAGAUAUAUCAAAUUCACAGAUGCUCUAGAAAAAACAUGACCAACUCCCUGGUGGUCUAGUGGUUAGGAUUCGGCGCUCUCACCGCCGCGGCCCGGGUUCGAUUCCCGGUCAGGGAAUACACUCUUUGAACAUCUGGUGUCCUCUCUGUAUAGUGAAGCUUGGUCACGGUGGGGGUGCCAUGUCAGGCUUGUGGCUUUGAUGAAAAAGGACAUUGUCAGUGCUCUUCCACGUUGUCCCCCAUAUCUCAAAAAAUACAACUUACUGUACAUGUACAAUGACACCUUUGUACACUACCGUAUCUUGCCAGUUUAGAGACCUCGUAUUUUGGCACACUGUAUUGCAGCCCUCCCAAAAAAGAUUCAUAUCCAAACUGAGGCCUUAAGAGCAACUGCUUUUAACACAACCUCAUUCGACUGCAUACAAAGAUAUAUCAAAUUCACAGAUGCUCUAGAAAAAACAUGACCAACUCCCUGGUGGUCUAGUGGUUAGGAUUCGGCGUUUUCACCGCCGCGGCCCGGGUUCGAUUCCCGGUCAGGGAAUACACUCUUUGAACAUCUGGUGUCCUCUCUGUAUAGUGAAGCUUGGUCACGGUGGGGGUGCCAUGUCAGGCUUGUGGCUUUGAUGAAAAAGGACAUUGUCAGUGCCCUUCCACGUUGUCCCCCAUAUCUCAAAAAAUACAACUUACUGUACAUGUACAAUGACACCUUUGUACACUGUUGUAUCUUGCCAGUUUAGAGACCUUGUAUUUUGGCACACUGUAUUGCAGCCCUCCCAAAAAAGAUUCAUAUCCAAACUGAGGCCUUAAGAGCAACUGCUUUGAACACAACCUCAUUCGACUGCAUACAAAGAUAUAUCAAAUUCAAAGAUGCUCUAGAAAAAACAUGACCAACUCCCUGGUGGUCUAGUGGUUAGGAUUCGGCGUUUUCAACGCCGCGGCCCGGGUUCGAUUCCCGGUCAGGGAAUACACUCUUUGAACAUCUGGUGUCCUCUCUGUAUAGUGAAGCUUGGUCACGGUGGGGGUGCCAUGUCAGGCUUGUGGCUUUGAUGAAAAAGGACAUUGUCAGUGCUCUUCCAAAUUGUCCCCCAUAUCUCAAAAAAUACAACUUACUGUACAUGUACAAUGACACCAUUUUGCACUACUGUAUCUUGCCAGUUUAGAGACCUUGUAUUUUGGCACACUGUAUUGCAGCCCUCCCAAAAAAAAUUCAUAUCCAAACUGAGGCCUUAAGAGCGAAAGCUUUGAAUGCAACCUCAUUCGACUGCAUACAAAGAUAUAUCAAAUUCACAGAUGCUCUAGAAAGAACAUGACCAACUCCCUGGUGGUCUAGUGGUUAGGAUUCGGCGCUCUCACCGCCGCGGCCCGGUUUCGAUUCCCGGUCAGGGAAUACACUCUUUGAACAUCUGGUGUCCUCUCUGUAUAGUGAAGCUUGGUCACGGUGAGGGUGCCAUGUCAGGCUUGUGGCUUUGAUGAAAAAGGACAUUGUCAGUGCUCUUCCACGUUGUCCCCCAUAUCUCAAAAAAUACAACUUACUGUACAUGUACAAAGACACCUUUGUACACUACCGUAUCUUGCCAGUUUACAGACCUCGCAUUUUGGCACACUGUAUUGCAGCCCUCCCAAAAAAGAUUCAUAUCCAAACUGAGGCCUUAAGAGCAACUGCUUUUAACACAACCUCAUUCGACUGCAUACAAAGAUAUAUCAAAUUCACAGAUGCUCUAGAAAAAACAUGACCAACUCCCUGGUGGUCUAGUGGUUAGGAUUCGGCGCUCUCACCGCCGCGGCCCGGGUUCGAUUCCCGGUCAGGGAAUACACUCAUUGAACAUCUGGUGUCCUCUCUGUAUAGUGAAGCUUGGUCACGGUGGGGGUGCCAUGUCAGGCUUGUGGCUUUGAUGAAAAAGGACAUUGUCAGUGCUCUUCCAAAUUGUCCCCCAUAUCUCAAAAAAUACAACUUACUGUACAUGUACAAUGACACCUUUGUGCACUACUGUAUCUUGCCAGUAUAGAGACCUUGUAUUUUGGCACACUGUAUUGCAGCCCUCCCAAAAAAGAUUCAUAUCCAAACUGAGGCCUUAAGAGCAACUGCUUUGAACACAACCUCAUUCGACUGCAAACAAAGAUAUAUCAAAUUCACAGAUGCUCUAGAAAAAACAUGACCAACUCCCUGGUGGUCUAGUGGUUAGGAUUCGGCGCUCUCACCGCCGCGGCCCGGGUUCGAUUCCCGGUCAGGGAAUACACUCUUUGAACAUCUGCUGUCCUCUCUGAAUACUGAAGCUUGGUCACGGUGGGGGUGCCAUGUCAGGCUUGUGGCUUUGAUGAAAAAGGACAUUGUCAGUUCUCUUCCACGUUGUCACCCAAAUCUCAAAAAAUACAACUUACUGUACAUGUACAAUGACACCUAUGUACACUACUGUAUCUUGCCACUUUAGAGACCUCAUAUUUUGGCACACUGUAUUGCAGCCCUCCCAAAAAAGAUUCAUAUCCAAACUGAGGCCUUAAGAGCAACUGCUUUGAACACAACCUCAUUCGACUGCAUACAAAGAUAUAUCAAAUUCACAGAUGCUCUAGAAAACCCAUGACCAACUCCCUGGUGGUCUAAUGGUUAGGAUUCGGCGUUUUCACCGCCGCGGCCGGGGUUCGAUUCCCGGUCAGGUAAUACACUCUUUGAACAUCUGGUGUCCUCUCUGUAUAGUGAAGCUUGGUAACGAUGGGGGUGCCAUGUCAGGCUUGUGGCUUUGAUGAAAAAGGACAUUCACAGUGCUCUUCCACAUUGACCCCCAUAUCUCAAAAAAUACAACUUACUGUACAUGUACAAUGACACCUUUGUACACUACCGUAUCUUGCCAGUGUAGAGACCUCGUAUUUUGGCACACUGUAUUGCAGCCCUUCCAAAAAAGAUUCAUAUCCAAACUGAGGCCUUAAGAGCAACUGCUUUGAACACAACCUCAUUCGACUGCAUACAAAGAUAUAUCAAAUUCAAAGAUCCUCUAGAAAAAACAUGACCAACUCCCUGGUGGUCUAGUGGUUAGGAUUCGGUGCUCUCACCGCCGCGGCCCGGGUUCGAUUCCCGGUCAGGGAAUACACUCUUUGAACAACUGGUGUCCUCUCUGUAUAGUGAAAAUUGGUCACGGUGGGUGUGCCAUGUCAGGCUUGUGGCUUUGAUGAAAAAGGAAAUUGUCAGUGCUCUUCCACGUUGUCCCCCAUAUCUCAAAAAAUACAACUUACUGUACAUGUACAAUGACACCUUUCUGCACUACUGUAUCUUGCCAGUUUAGAGACCUUGUAUUUUGGCACACUGUAUUGCAGCCCUCCCAAAAAAGAUUCAUAUCCAAACUGAGGCCUUAAGAGCGAAAGCUUUGAAUGCAACCUCAUUCGACUGCAAACAAAGAUAUAUCAAAUUCACAGACGCUCCAGAAAAAAAUGAUGAACUCCCUGGUGGUCUAGUGGUUAGGAUUCGGCGUUUUCACCGCCGCGGCCCGGGUUCGAUUCCCGGUCAGGGAAUACACUCUUUGAACAUCUGCUGUCCUCUCUGUAUAGUGAAGCUUGGUCACGGUGGGGGUGCCAUGUCAGGCUUGUGGCUUUGAUGAAAAAGGACAUUGUCAGUGCUCUUCCACGUUGUCACCCAAAUCUCAAAAAAUACAACUUACUGUACAUGUACAAUGACACCUUUGUACACUGUUGUAUCUUGCCAGUUUAGAGACCUUAUUUUGGCACACUGUAUUGCAGCCCUCCCAAAAAAGAUUCAUAUCCAAACUGAGGCCUUAAGAGCAACUGCUUUGAACACAACCUCAUUCGACUGCAUACAAAGAUAUAUCAAAUUCACAGACGCUCCAGAAAAAAAUGAUGAACUCCCUGGUGGUCUAGUGGUUAGGAUUCGGUGUUUUCACCGACACGGCCCGGGUUCGAUUCCCGGUCAGGGAAUACACUCUUUGAACAUCUGCUGUCCUCUCUGUAUAGUGAAGCUUGGUCACGGUGGGGGUGCCAUGUCAGGCUUGUGGCUUUGAUGAAAAAGGACAUUGUCAGUGCUCUUCCACGUUGUCACCCAAAUCUCAAAAAAUACAACUUACUGUACAUGUACAAUGACACCUUUGUACACUGUUGUAUCUUGCCAGUUUACAGACCGCUUAUUUUGGCACACUGUAUUGCAGCCCUCCCAAAAAAGAUUCAUAUCCAAACUGAGGCCUUAAGAGCAACUGCUUUGAACACAACCUCAUUCGACUGCAUACAAAGAUAUAUCAAAUUCACAGACGCUCCAGAAAAAAAAUGAUGAACUCCCUGGUGGUCUAGUGGUUAGGAUUCGGUGUUUUCACCGACACGGCCCGGGUUCGAUUCCCGCUCAGGGAAUACACUCUUUGAACAUCUGCUGUCCUCUCUGUAUAGUGAAGCUUGGUCACUGUGGGGGUGCCAUGUCAGGCUUGUGGCUUUGAUGAAAAAGGACAUUGUCAGUGCUCUUCCAUGUUGUCCCCCAUACCUCAAAAAAUACAAAUUAUUGUGAAUGUACAAUGACACCUUUGUCAACAACUUUAUCUUGCCAGUUUAGUGACCGCUUUUUUUGGCACACUGUAUUGCAGCCCUCCCAUAAAAAAAAAUCAGACCCAAACUGAGGCCUUUAGAGUAACUGCUUUGAACACAACCUCAUUCGACUGCAUUCAAAGAUAUAUCAAAUUCACAGAUGCUCUAGGAAAAACAUGAGCAAUUUCCUGCUGGUCUAGUGGUUACGAUUCGGCGCUCUCACCGCCGCGGCUCGGGUUCGAUUCCCGGUCAGGGAAUAUGCACUUUGAACAUCUGGUGUCCUCUCCGUAUAGUGAAGCUUGGUCACGGUGGGGGUGCCAUGUCAGGCUUGUGGCUUUGAUGAAAAAGGACAUUGUCAGUGCUCUUCCACGUUGUCCCCCAUAUCUCAAAAAAUACAACUUACUGUACAUGUACAAUGACACCUUUGUACACUACCGUAUCUUGCCAGUUUAGAGACCUCGUAUUUUGGCACACUGUAUUGCAGCCCUCCCAAAAAAGAUUCAUAUCCAAACUGAGGCCUUAAGAGCAACUGCUUUUAACACAACCUCAUUCGACUGCAUACAAAGAUAUAUCAAAUUCACAGAUGCUCUAGAAAAAAAUGAUGAACUCCCUGGUGGUCUAGUGGUUAGGAUUCGGCGCUCUCACCGCCGCGGCCCGGGUUCGAUUCCCGGUCAGGGAAUACACUCUUUGAACAUCUGGUGUCCUCUCUGUAUAGUGAAGCUUGGUCACGGUGGGGGUGCCAUGUCAGGCUUGUGGCUUUGAUGAAAAAGGACAUUGUCAGUGC
This 17787-nucleotide long non-coding RNA is filed under the name Xyrichtys novacula (pearly razorfish). The stretch from base 13384 to 13455 matches the Rfam family "tRNA". Lineage: Eukaryota; Metazoa; Chordata; Actinopteri; Labriformes; Labridae. The record is from RNAcentral.